RNAcentral lists this ribosomal RNA (234 nucleotides) under Triticum aestivum (bread wheat). RNAcentral's name for it is "partial small subunit ribosomal RNA". The record is from RNAcentral. Lineage: Eukaryota; Viridiplantae; Streptophyta; Magnoliopsida; Poales; Poaceae.
AUGAAAUGUUGUGUGAUUCUACACAACAUGAUCCUAGAGGAUGAGAGAGGGUUAAACCUCCCCUGUUUCUAUGACAAUGUUGGUACCCGUGUGCAACCGGAAAGAAACCCUUCUCGCAUACACGCUUUUCUUCAAGCACAUCGUCAGAUUGAGGAUGCAAUCACUCAUGGUCGGCUCCGGAAUGAUCUAGUAGAGCACCACUGGCAGUUGGAUGGGCGGCGCAUUGGCCCAUGA